Molecule: ribosomal RNA, 481 nt
Filed under: uncultured bacterium
Lineage: Bacteria
Description: partial 16S ribosomal RNA
Rfam family: Bacterial small subunit ribosomal RNA
Source: RNAcentral
GAUGAACGCUGGCGGCGUGCUUAACACAUGCCAGUCGAACGAAGCAUUUAGGACAGAUUACUUCGGUUUGAAGUUCUUUAUGACUGAGAGGCGGACGGGUGAGUAACGCGUGGGUAACCUGCCUUGUACUGGGGGAUAGCACCUGGAAACGGCUGGUAAUACCGCAUAAGCGCACAAUGUUGCAUGACAUGGUGUGCAAAACUCCGGUGGUAUCAGAUGGACCCGCGUCUGAUUAGCUAGUUGGUGAGAUAACAGCCCACCCAGGCGACGAUCAGUAGCCGACCAGGGAGGGUGACCGGCCACAUUGGGACUGAGACACGGCCCAGACUCCUACGGGAGGCAGCAGUGGGGAAUAUUGCACAAUGGAGGAAACUCUGAUGCAGCGACGCCGCGUGAGUGAAGAAGUAAUUCGUUAUGUAAAGCUCUAUCAGCAGGGAAGAUAGUGACGGUACCUGACUAAGAAGCUCCGGCUAAAUACGUG